AAGGGGCGGGCGGCUGUGUGGUAAGACACUUCGGUAGGAGUAUUUAAGGUCGAGGCCUCGAAUCUAACGACAGUCUCUGCUUUCCGAUAUUCGGGUGCCAGGCGAAAUCCGCAUUCCUUAGGCUACGUCAGCUCCACCGGGCUCUCCUGCACAGUGUCCAUCUCCGCCAUGAACAGUGAAAGCCAACCGCGUGCCUCAGUUGAUUAGUGACCGUUUCAUCUCCUCAAGAAAAUGGUAUGGUGCCCGAACUGCGUCAGGGACUGUCGUGUAGACCGUGAUCAUGCUAGUGGAUACAUAUGUUGUUCUGAAUGCGGAAGAAUACACUAUCAAGAUGUCUUCACAGAUGAGCCCACAUUCGUCAAGGGACCAGGAGGAGAGAGCCGUUUGGCUGGCAGUUUUGUGAGGAGCAUUCAAAGCGAUUGUUCAGAAUCAUUUAAAAGAACAUUAGAGAAUGGAAGUAGGCAAAUUAAUGAUUUGAUGAUAAAACUGGAUAUCCCUGACGAGUCUUUAGGUGCACAAGCAGCUUCAUUUUAUCGGAUUGCAGUUGAGCGUAGUUUCACCAAAGGACGUAGAACUGCUCAUGUUGCAGCAGCUUGCCUCUACAUUGCUUGCAGGGCCAAUGACAAGCCAUAUUUACUUAUUGAUUUUUCCAUUUGGUUGAGUGUAAAUGUUUAUGUGUUGGGAGCUGUCUAUCUACAGCUUUGCAAAGUUUUGAACCUUGAAGAGCAUCCAUUUGUUCAGAAACCUAUUGAUCCUAGCCUUUUUAUGCAUCGAUUUACAAGUGCUUUAAUGAAAGGCGACUAUAAAAAUAAGGUUUGGAAGACAGCACUGCAAAUAGUUGCCAGCAUGAAGCGAGACUGGAUGCAGACAGGCAGAAAACCAAGUGGGAUAUGCGGUGCUGCAUUGUACAUCUCUGCACUUUCACAUGGGUGUAGUUACUCAAAGUCAGAAAUUGUGAAAAUUGUUCAUAUAUGUGAAGCAACACUGACCAAAAGGUUGGUUGAGUUUGAGAAUACAAAAUCUGGAAGCUUAACAAUUGAGGAAUUCAAUCAGAAUGCUGAAGAGUUUGAAAAGGAGAAUCAUUCAUCCACAUCACCAGAUGUAUACCUGCAGGAGUCUGGCAAAAAGGAAGUGCUUUGCCAACACAAAGGAAAAGAACCUCAUUUUGCUCAUGGGCUUUGCAGCAGCUGCUAUAAAGAUUUCAUUGAACUCUCUGGAGGACUUGAUGAAGGAUGUGAACCUCCAGCGUUCCAGGUUGCUGAAAGGGAUAGAUUAGCCCGAGCAUCUGCUGAGAAGGAAGGAAGCACUGAUCAGGCAAAUCAAGAUAGUUGUAACCAUGAGAAAGAAGCGGUGCCAGUGUCAGCAAGUGCUUCUGCCCCUCAGAAUCUGAACAAAGGUUGUGAUGACACAUUUAGCAAAGAUGAUGAUAUUCCACCUGUCACAGAUGAGACAGAUAACCUUUCUGAUAUUGAUGAUGUAGAGGUCAAUUCCUACCUUAAUAGUAAGGAAGAAAGCCACUAUAAGAAGAUUAUCUGGGAACAAAUGAAUAAGGAAUACGUUAAGGAACAAGCAGCUAAGGAAGCGGCUGCUGCUUUACGAGAUUGUGGUGAAGUUACAGAUGAUGUCCUUGCAGCACGGAAACUUGCAGCUGCAGCUGCUGCUGCUGUGGCAAAAUCAAGAGAUCAACAAAAACUGAAGAGAGCUGAAUCUAAAAAUGCUGGCCCAGCUCCAACUGCUGCUGAAGCAACCCGUCAGAUGCUGAUGAAAAAGGGGUUAAGUUCGAAAAUUAAUUAUGACGUUCUGGAGAAACUAUUUGAUGAGAGUAUCAGUAUUGAGUCAAGUUUUAGGAAACGGGUUCACUUUGAAUUCAACCUAUGCCGAGUCUAGUUGAGCUACGUCGAACAAUCUCAAAACGAACCAACUGCAGUCGCAGGGCUGGAUAAUCUUUUUUCUGAUUAGUCGCCUCCAAGCACCAAAAAGCCUCGUAUGGAACCUCCCCGCAAUGACCACAAUGCCUCUGGAAAAUAUGCAAACAAGAAGGAUAAUGAAGCAGAAUGAACAAUGUUAAUAAGCAGGAGCUGAACGAGGAUUAUAUGGAAGAUGAUAUUACCAUAGAAGUAGAUGAAGAGCAGGAUCAAAAUGAGGAAGAAAUGUUCUAUGGUGAUGAAGAUGAUAAUGAUAAUUUUGAUGAAGAUUGAUUUUUUUUUUUUAUAGCAUCUUCAUAGUUUUAAAGGAAAAGAACGUGAUUCUUGUAAAAUUUUCAAUGCAUUCUUAAAUAUCCUCUCUUUCAAAACGAGUUCUCUCUUCCUUCUCCCUAGAAAAACUCUCUAAUCAAAAAUUUCUUCAACUUUUCUACGGGAGAGAGAUCGGAUUUAGUUGAUCUUUCCCACACGAAAGGAGCAUAUCUUUAGUUUCU
This is an RNA transcript of Coffea arabica (coffee), 2416 nucleotides long. It is a transcript of the gene named transcription factor IIIB 60 kDa subunit, with no coding region annotated. NCBI's taxonomy places the organism in Eukaryota, Viridiplantae, Streptophyta, Magnoliopsida, Gentianales, Rubiaceae. The record is from RefSeq and is a predicted model, not a curated record.